AAUUUUAUUUUAAAAAAAAAAAAAAUUUAGAUGCUUUUUAAUGUAACAUCAAAAUACAAACACAAAUCCUAAAAAUGCCAAGGUAAUUCAACCUAAUUUCUGAAUGGUACUUGGACCACAAAAUGAACAAGGAUUUUCCAACUCUAUUUAAUUCCCAAGGCGAAAUUUUAACCUGUCAUCUGCUCCAACAAACGCAGCACACGCAUUGCAGCCUCUCACCAUGACACGGGCACGAUCAUCCACAUUUAACCAAAAGUUACUCAAGAUGACAAUAAGCAACAAAAACUACAA
This 291-nucleotide unclassified non-coding RNA is filed under the name Hevea brasiliensis (rubber tree). Lineage: Eukaryota; Viridiplantae; Streptophyta; Magnoliopsida; Malpighiales; Euphorbiaceae. The record is from RNAcentral.